Non-coding RNA from Camelina sativa (false flax), 1364 nucleotides. The record is from RefSeq and is a predicted model, not a curated record. Lineage: Eukaryota; Viridiplantae; Streptophyta; Magnoliopsida; Brassicales; Brassicaceae.
AUAUAAACGAUGUCCAAAAUAUUUUGCAACACUCUCUACUCUUCUUCUCUCUCGCCGUUAACUCCAACUCGAACAAACACAUCGCGAUUCUCAAACAAACUCAGAGUUCGAGCUCAAUCCUAGUCCAUGGACGAUUAUCUCCACCGGAAAUUCAUGGAUUACCCGUACGUGUCACCCACGCGCAGGCAGCUUAUGGUUGGUCUCAUGUCGACGCUGGAGGAUCGCCUCCAAUCGCAUCUCCUUCCCUGUACCCUCCCACCUGAUGUACGAAACUUCAAGAACCCUAACCGUUCCGCUGAAGCAUCUAUUCAUAUCAGAUCCGGUGAUAAAACCUCUCCGGACACAUUAUGGAAAUGGAUGAGGUUGGCUGCCGAGACUACCAAGAAGGGCGAGGUUUAGAUAAAUCAUCAUAUCAAUUGGGAAUUGGGAAUUCGUUUGAAAGCACUGUGCAGUUCCAUCUCCAACACUUAGUAGCCAUGCAGCGAAGUUUCCUUGUGAUUCUUGAAGUCUCAUGUUCUUUUUUAGGGAGAAAACUUUGCAAGAGUCCCACAAGUAUGAUUGUUUAAUUGAUGCUAAUACUGUAUCAGCUCGAGAACCUUGUGGAAUAACUGGUAGUGUUUGUCUGAAGUCCCCACCUAGUAUUACAGUCUUGCCUCCAAAAGGUUGGUCUUUAGCUUCUGAUUUUUUCAUGGACAUCAAGUCUCGUAAUUUUCUGUCAACCGCCUCAAAUGCGUACCGAUGUGCCAUGGGCGCCUCAUCCCAUAUGAUAAGAUCAGUUUUCUCUAUUAGUUCUGCUAACAUCGUUCCUGGCUUUAUAUGACAUAAUGAAUCUUCAUUGAGAUCCAUGGGUAUUUUAAAGCGUGAAUGUGCCGUUUUUCCUGCAGGUAGAAGCAAUGCUGCGAUUCCUGAUGAAGCGACAGGGAGAACAACUUUUCUUUCUGAUCUCAACUUAGAAAUGAUGGUCGAAUAAAGGUUUCCUUUGGUGUAUGUGGUAUCCAAACGUUCGCCACAUUGCUUCACAAGCAGAUAAGUAUCGACAGUCAAGGGUGAUUUUGGUCUAUCCAAUCCACAAGGACCGUGCAUCAUGUGUCUUUCCACAAGCUCAAACCCUUCUGGGUCGUUAUUUUUUUGUGGCAAUUCAGCGGAGAUUAUUGCAUCAACUUCAUUGAUUGCUGGGAUUCUUGAUGCCCCAUCCAACCAAAGCAGUAUGUGUGCAUGUGGCAACCCGCGCUUUUGGAAUUCUAUUUUGUGGAUCACUGUAGAUUAAAAAUAUGUUAUGAGUCAAUGUAAUAUAAAAUUGAGACUUUUUCUACAUUUUAAAUGUGAGGCUAUUAUGAAGAUAUGAAGAAUGACAAAUUUAUGAA